RNAcentral lists this non-coding RNA (32 nucleotides) under Mus musculus (house mouse). Lineage: Eukaryota; Metazoa; Chordata; Mammalia; Rodentia; Muridae. The record is from RNAcentral.
UGCACUAUAGGGACAAUACCCCAACCAAAGCA